AUAUUUUGAUGCAGAUGCUUGGGUUUAACUUCAGGGGAAAGGUUGGCUGAGGCUGGUGGCUUAGACCUGAGCACUUUGGAGGGGCAUUUUUGUAGGAUUCUGGGGUUUUCAGUCAAAGACGGGGGAAAAACUCACUUCAAUCCUCUACAAGAUCCACGUGGAGGACCCAGUCUAUACGCAGCAUCUCUGUUUGCCAAGAGGGAGAAGAUGUGUUUCCUCUCCUUAUCCUAAAGCACUUGAGGAGUCAGAGUUGCCUUGACACAGCCAGGAGCACUGGGAUGAAGGGAGAAGCCCUUGCAGGAAGUUUUACCCACAGCUGUGGUCCUGAGCACCGACUGGAGAGAGGCAGCUCCUGAACUACCCACACACUGGGAAUGCGAAUGCUUUGUUUCAAUAACAUUUAACAGCGAUUGCCUCGGCAACCUCUGGCCUGCUGUGAUUAAAUAUUAAUAUGCUU
Gallus gallus (chicken) is the source of this 457-nucleotide long non-coding RNA. RefSeq lists it as uncharacterized. The record is from RefSeq and is a predicted model, not a curated record. The transcript has 3 exons. Lineage: Eukaryota; Metazoa; Chordata; Aves; Galliformes; Phasianidae.